UCAACCAUCAAGCCUUGCUUGGUAUUGGGUGCCGUCCCUGCUGCGGACGCUCCCUAAAGUAAUCGGCGGUGGUGUUGAACCUCAAGCGUAGUAGAAUCUCCAGCUUUCUAGGUGAGACGCCGCUCGGCCUCGAGAAACCCUUCAUUUCAA
RNAcentral lists this unclassified non-coding RNA (150 nucleotides) under uncultured Ascomycota. RNAcentral describes it as "sequence contains ITS2". The record is from RNAcentral. Lineage: Eukaryota; Fungi; Ascomycota.